GGCGGCUUUAGCGCGGUGGUCCCACCUGACCCCAUGCCGAACUCAGAAGUGAAACGCCGUAGCGCCGAUGGUAGUGUGGGGCCUCCCCAUGCGAGAGUAGGGAACUGCCAGGC
This 113-nucleotide ribosomal RNA is filed under the name Pantoea endophytica. The record is from RNAcentral. RNAcentral also lists the same sequence under 1 other name. Lineage: Bacteria; Pseudomonadati; Pseudomonadota; Gammaproteobacteria; Enterobacterales; Erwiniaceae.